RNAcentral lists this ribosomal RNA (483 nucleotides) under uncultured bacterium. Its description in RNAcentral is "partial 16S ribosomal RNA". It matches the Rfam family "Bacterial small subunit ribosomal RNA", at positions 28 to 523 of the family's 1533-position model. The record is from RNAcentral.
GACGAACGCUGGCGGCGUGCUUAACACAUGCAAGUCGAACGAUGAAGCUGGAGCUUGCUCCGGUGGAUUAGUGGCGAACGGGUGAGUAACACGUGAGCAAUCUGCCCUUGACUCUGGGAUAACUGCGGGAAACUGUAGCUAAUACCGGAUACGAGGCUCGAAGGCAUCUUCGGGUCUGGAAAGAAUUUCGGUCAAGGAUGAGCGCGAGGCCUAUCAGCUUGUUGGUGAGGUAAUGGCGCACCAAGGCGACGACGGGUAGCCGGCCUGAGAGGGUGACCGGCCACACUGGGACUGAGACACGGCCCAGACUCCUACGGGAGGCAGCAGUGGGGAAUAUUGCACAAUGGGCGAAAGCCUGAUGCAGCAACGCCGCGUGAGGGAUGAAGGCCUUCGGGUUGUAAACCUCUUUUAGCAGGGAAGAAGCGAAAGUGACGGUACCUGCAGAAAAAGCACCGGCUAACUACGUGCCAGCCGCCGCCGUAA